Molecule: ribosomal RNA, 543 nt
Filed under: Staphylococcus aureus
Lineage: Bacteria; Bacillati; Bacillota; Bacilli; Caryophanales; Staphylococcaceae
Description: bacterial SSU rRNA
Rfam family: Bacterial small subunit ribosomal RNA
Source: RNAcentral
UUUAUGGAGAGUUUGAUCCUGGCUCAGGAUGAACGCUGGCGGCGUGCCUAAUACAUGCAAGUCGAGCGAACGGACGAGAAGCUUGCUUCUCUGAUGUUAGCGGCGGACGGGUGAGUAACACGUGGAUAACCUACCUAUAAGACUGGGAUAACUUCGGGAAACCGGAGCUAAUACCGGAUAAUAUUUUGAACCGCAUGGUUCAAAAGUGAAAGACGGUCUUGCUGUCACUUAUAGAUGGAUCCGCGCUGCAUUAGCUAGUUGGUAAGGUAACGGCUUACCAAGGCAACGAUGCAUAGCCGACCUGAGAGGGUGAUCGGCCACACUGGAACUGAGACACGGUCCAGACUCCUACGGGAGGCAGCAGUAGGGAAUCUUCCGCAAUGGGCGAAAGCCUGACGGAGCAACGCCGCGUGAGUGAUGAAGGUCUUCGGAUCGUAAAACUCUGUUAUUAGGGAAGAACAUAUGUGUAAGUAACUGUGCACAUCUUGACGGUACCUAAUCAGAAAGCCACGGCUAACUACGUGCCAGCAGCCGCGGUAAUAC